Molecule: ribosomal RNA, 232 nt
Filed under: uncultured bacterium
Lineage: Bacteria
Description: partial 16S ribosomal RNA
Rfam family: Bacterial small subunit ribosomal RNA
Source: RNAcentral
UGAGCAACCUGCCCCUGACUCUGGGAUAACCCCGGGAAACCGGAGCUAAUACCGGAUACGACACGCGAAGGCAUCUUCUGCGUGUAGAAAGAUUUAUCGGUCAGGGAUGGGCUCGCGGCCUAUCAGCUUGUUGGUGGGGUAGUGGCCUACCAAGGCGACGACGGGUAGCCGGCCUGAGAGGGUGACCGGCCACACUGGGACUGAGACACGGCCCAGACUCCUACGGGAGGCA